GCCGGUGUAGCUCAACGCUAGAGCAGCCGAAAUUGUAAUCGGCAGAUGGUGCGUUCAAGUCCUCCCGCCGGCUCCA
This 76-nucleotide transfer RNA is filed under the name Acidobacteriota bacterium. Its description in RNAcentral is "Acidobacteria bacterium tRNA-OTHER". It matches the Rfam family "tRNA". From Rfam's summary of the family: Transfer RNA (tRNA) molecules are approximately 80 nucleotides in length. RNAcentral also lists the same sequence under 1 other name. The record is from RNAcentral. Lineage: Bacteria; Pseudomonadati; Acidobacteriota.